This 393-nucleotide ribosomal RNA is filed under the name uncultured bacterium. RNAcentral's name for it is "bacterial SSU rRNA". It matches the Rfam family "Bacterial small subunit ribosomal RNA", at positions 29 to 417 of the family's 1533-position model. The record is from RNAcentral.
AUUGAACGCUGGCGGCAGGCCUAACACAUGCAAGUCGAACGGCAGCACAGAAGAGCUUGCUCUUUGGGUGGCGAGUGGCGGACGGGUGAGUAACACGUAGGAAUCUACCCAGUAGUGGGGGAUAACCUGGGGAAACCCAGGCUAAUACCGCAUACGCCCUGAGGGGGAAAGCGGGGGAUCUUCGGACCUCGCGCUAUUGGAUGAGCCUGCGUCAGAUUAGCUAGUUGGUGGGGUAAGGGCCCACCAAGACGACGAUCCGUAGCUGGUCUGAGAGGAUGACCAGUCACACCGGAACUGAGACACGGUCCGGACUCCUACGGGAGGCAGCAGUGGGGAAUAUUGGACAAUGGGCGCAAGCCUGAUCCAGCCAUGCCGCGUGGGUGAAGAAGGCCU